Molecule: ribosomal RNA, 477 nt
Filed under: uncultured bacterium
Lineage: Bacteria
Description: partial 16S ribosomal RNA
Rfam family: Bacterial small subunit ribosomal RNA
Source: RNAcentral
GAUGAACGCUGGCGGCGUGCCUAAUACAUGCAAGUCGAGCGAACAGACGAGGAGCUUGCUCCUCUGACGUUAGCGGCGGACGGGUGAGUAACACGUGGAUAACCUACCUAUAAGACUGGGAUAACUUCGGGAAACCGGAGCUAAUACCGUAUAAUAUAUUGAACCGCAUGGUUCAAUAGUGAAAGACGGUGUUGCUGUCACUUAUAGAUGGAUCCGCGCCGCAUGAGCUAGUUGGUAAGGUAACGGCUUACCAAGGCAACUAUGCGUAGCCGACCUGAGAGCGUCACCGACCGCGUGGGGACUGAGAGACGGGCCAGAAUCCGACGGGAGUCAGCAGUGGGGAAUAGACCACAAUGUACGGAAGCCUGAUGCAGCAACGCCGCUUGCUGGAUGACUGCCUUCGGGUUAUAAACCGCAGUCGCCUGAGACGAAGCGUCAGUGACGGUAAGUGGUAAAGAAGCACCGGCUAACUACGUG